This 301-nucleotide ribosomal RNA is filed under the name uncultured bacterium. RNAcentral describes it as "partial 16S ribosomal RNA". It matches the Rfam family "Bacterial small subunit ribosomal RNA", at positions 509 to 809 of the family's 1533-position model. The record is from RNAcentral.
CAGCAGCCACGGUAAUACGGAGGGUGCAAGCGUUAAUCGGAAUUACUGGGCGUAAAGCGCACGCAGGCGGUCUGACAAGUCAGAUGUGAAAUCCCCGGGCUUAACCUGGGAACUGCAUUUGAAACUGUCAGGCUGGAGUCUUGUAGAGGGGGGUGGAAUUCCAGGUGUAGCGGUGAAAUGCGUAGAGAUCUGGAGGAAUACCGGUGGCGAAGGCGGCCCCCUGGACAAAGACUGACGCUCAGGUGCGAAAGCGUGGGGAGCAAACAGGAUUAGAUACCCGCGUAGUCCCUGUCUCUUAUCC